GAUGAAGAACGUAGCGAAAUGCGAUAAGUAAUGUGAAUUGCAGAAUUCAGUGAAUCAUCGGAUCUUUGAACGCACAUUGCGCCCGCCAGUAUUCUGGCGAGCAUGCCUGUUCGAGCGUCAUUUCAACCAUCAAGCCCCAGGCUUGUGUUGGAGCCCUGCGGCUGCCGCAGCCUCCCAAAACCAGUGGCGGGCUCGCUAUCACACCGAGUGCAGUAGUUUACUCUUCGCUCAGGGCGUGUGGCGGGUGCUAGCCGUGAAACCCCCAACUUCUCAAGGUUGACCUCGGAUCAGGUAGGAAUACCCGCUGAACUUAAGCAUAUCAAUAAGCGGAGGA
RNAcentral lists this unclassified non-coding RNA (334 nucleotides) under soil metagenome. RNAcentral's name for it is "partial contains 5.8S ribosomal RNA, internal transcribed spacer 2, and large subunit ribosomal RNA". The stretch from base 1 to 120 matches the Rfam family "5.8S ribosomal RNA", at positions 35 to 154 of the family's 154-position model. The record is from RNAcentral.